GUGGGGAAUAUUGGGCAAUGGGCGCAAGCCUGACCCAGCAACGCCGCGUGAAGGAAGAAGGCUUUCGGGUUGUAAACUUCUUUUAAGAGGGAAGAGCAGAAGACUGUACCUCUAGAAUAAGCCACGGCUAACUACGUGCCAGCAGCCGCGGUAAUACGUAGGUGGCAAGCGUUGUCCGGAUUUACUGGGUGUAAAGGGCGUGCAGCCGGGAAUGCAAGUCAGAUGUGAAAUCCAUGGGCUUAACCCAUGAACUGCAUUUGAAACUGUAUUUCUUGAGUACUGGAGAGGCAAUCGGAAUUCCUAGUGUAGCGGUGAAAUGCGUAGAUAUUAGGAGGAACACCAGUGGCGAAGGCGGAUUGCUGGACAGCAACUGACGGUGAGGCGCGAAAGUGUGGGGAGCAAACAGGAUUAGAAACCCUAGUAGUCC
Molecule: ribosomal RNA, 427 nt
Filed under: uncultured bacterium
Lineage: Bacteria
Description: bacterial SSU rRNA
Rfam family: Bacterial small subunit ribosomal RNA
Source: RNAcentral